CCUACGGGUGGCUGCAGUGAGGAAUAUUGGUCAAUGGUCGGGAGACUGAACCAGCCAAGCCGCGUGAGGGAGGAAGGUACAGAGUAUCGUAAACCUCUUUUGUCAGGGAACAAAGGCGGGGACGUGUCCCCGGAUGAGUGUACCUGAAGAAAAAGCAUCGGCUAACUCCGUGCCAGCAGCCGCGGUAAUACGGAGGAUGCGAGCGUUAUCCGGAUUUAUUGGGUUUAAAGGGUGCGCAGGCGGUCUGUUAAGUCAGCGGGCAAAGCCCGGGGCUCAACCCCGGCCCGCCGGUGAAACUGGCGGCCUCGAGUGGGCGAGAAGUAUGCGGAAUGCGUGGUGUAGCGGUGAAAUGCAUAGAUAUCACGCAGAACUCCGAUUGCGAAGGCAGCAUACCGGCGCCCGACUGACGCUGAGGCACGAAAGCGUGGGUAUCGAACAGGAGUAGAUACCCUAGUAGUC
This 459-nucleotide ribosomal RNA is filed under the name uncultured bacterium. RNAcentral's name for it is "partial 16S ribosomal RNA". It matches the Rfam family "Bacterial small subunit ribosomal RNA", at positions 338 to 795 of the family's 1533-position model. The record is from RNAcentral.